GAUGAACGCUGGCGGCGUGCCUAAUACAUGCAAGUCGAGCGAACAGACGAGGAGCUUGCUCCUCUGACGUUAGCGGCGGACGGGUGAGUAACACGUGGAUAACCUACCUAUAAGACUGGGAUAACUUCGGGAAACCGGAGCUAAUACCGGAUAAUAUAUUGAACCGCAUGGUUCAAUAGUGAAAGACGGUUUUGCUGUCACUUAUAGAUGGAUCCGCGCCGCAUUAGCUAGUUGGUAAGGUAACGGCUUACCAAGGCAACGAUGCGUAGCCGACCUGAGAGGGUGAUCCGCCACACUGGAACUGAGACACGGUCCCGACUCCUACGGGAGGCCGCCGUAGGGAAUCUUCCGCAAUUGGCGAAAGCCUGACGGAGCAACGCCGCGUGAGUGAUGAAGGUCUUCGGAUCGUAAAACUCUGUUAUUAGGGAAGAACAAAUGUGUAAGUAACUAUGCCCGUCUUGACGGUACCUAAUCAGAAAGCCACGGCUAACUACGUG
RNAcentral lists this ribosomal RNA (497 nucleotides) under uncultured bacterium. RNAcentral describes it as "partial 16S ribosomal RNA". It matches the Rfam family "Bacterial small subunit ribosomal RNA", at positions 28 to 507 of the family's 1533-position model. The record is from RNAcentral.